Molecule: ribosomal RNA, 500 nt
Filed under: uncultured bacterium
Lineage: Bacteria
Description: bacterial SSU rRNA
Rfam family: Bacterial small subunit ribosomal RNA
Source: RNAcentral
GGGGAAGGGUAGCUUGCUACCUGACCUAGCGGCGGACGGGUGAGUAAUGCUUAGGAAUCUGCCUAUUAGUGGGGGACAACAUUCCGAAAGGAAUGCUAAUACCGCAUACGCCCUACGGGGGAAAGCAGGGGAUCUUCGGACCUUGCGCUAAUAGAUGAGCCUAAGUCAGAUUAGCUAGUUGGUGGGGUAAAGGCCUACCAAGGCGACGAUCUGUAGCGGGUCUGAGAGGAUGAUCCGCCACACUGGGACUGAGACACGGCCCAGACUCCUACGGGAGGCAGCAGUGGGGAAUAUUGGACAAUGGGCGAAAGCCUGAUCCAGCCAUGCCGCGUGUGUGAAGAAGGCCUUUUGGUUGUAAAGCACUUUAAGCGAGGAGGAGGCUACUGAGAUUAAUACUCUUGGAUAGUGGACGUUACUCGCAGAAUAAGCACCGGCUAACUCUGUGCCAGCAGCCGCGGUAAUCAGAGGGUGCGAGCGUUAAUCGGAUUUACUGGGCGUAA